Molecule: unclassified non-coding RNA, 340 nt
Filed under: uncultured fungus
Lineage: Eukaryota; Fungi
Description: partial contains 5.8S ribosomal RNA and internal transcribed spacer 2
Rfam family: 5.8S ribosomal RNA (bases 1-133)
Source: RNAcentral
UGGUUCUGGCAUCGAUGAAGAACGCAGCGAAAUGCGAUAAGUAAUGUGAAUUGCAGAAUUCAGUGAAUCAUCGAAUCUUUGAACGCACAUUGCGCCCCCUGGCAUUCCGGGGGGCAUGCCCGUUCGAGCGUCAUAUAACAAACCUCACGCCUGGCGUGGUGAUGGGCCCUGUGGACCAGCAGGCCUCAAACGCGGUGGCUAUCCAUUAGUAAAUGGGGAGUCCUGUAGCAUGGUGCCGCAAAUAUCGAGAAAUAUAUGCAGCGCGUAGUUUGUACACCCCUGCCAUUUCAACGCAGACAUACACAAGUUUGACCUCGGAUCGGGUAGGAAUACCCGCUGA